RNAcentral lists this long non-coding RNA (682 nucleotides) under Phoenix dactylifera (date palm). RNAcentral describes it as "long non-coding RNA (PDAC_LNC019476)". The record is from RNAcentral. Lineage: Eukaryota; Viridiplantae; Streptophyta; Magnoliopsida; Arecales; Arecaceae.
UGGAGCCCACCUCGGUACGCCUCCACCACGACGCGCUCCUUUGUACGGUUUCUCACCCAGGAACGUCGUAUACACUGGAACAAGCCAUCUCCCAGCGGUGCACCAUGUACACGACAUGCAUCAAAAUACGCGCCUCGAGAUUACCCGUUCGAUGUGCCUUGAAAUCCUUCGGGACCGUCUGAUGAGUUGUCGUUUCGUACUGCUGGUCCACUGUGGAGGUGUGGCGGGGCCGUUUCGGUUGGCCGUCUCAUCAGAGCAGACGCUUCUAUUUACCGAGCCGGAUUCCCAGAUCAGAAUCCAAAUGGGAACCGCGAUGUGCAUCGCCCCCUUCUUUGGUCGGUGGUCCCGCCCAAGUCCAGCGGCCGCACACGGAAUGCCAGAUCGCCAGUCCGUCCCCACCGGGCCAGCCAUGCUCCCAGGCGCUCCAAAAUAAAUAUUCCACCCCGAGGCCUCAUCCAUCAUCAUAAUUGUUACCCCUCCCGACUGCAAUAAUUUUAAUUUUUUUUCUUGUUGGACCCUGGCUGCAAGAAUUCAUACCUCUACCUCUCCUCUUCAACUCAAGCCUGUCCCCUCCCGCUUCUGUCCCUGGAAACCAGUGUUUCACAGGGGUAUAAACCAGCGAAUCCCCAAAAGAACUCCAGCCUUCUCUUCCUCUCCUUCGCCUUGUAUCUCUCUCUCUCUC